This 454-nucleotide ribosomal RNA is filed under the name uncultured bacterium. Its description in RNAcentral is "bacterial SSU rRNA". It matches the Rfam family "Bacterial small subunit ribosomal RNA", at positions 340 to 786 of the family's 1533-position model. The record is from RNAcentral.
UACGGAAGGCAGCAGUGGGGAAUAUUGCACAAUGGGCGCAAGCCUGAUGCAGCCAUGCCGCGUGUAUGAAGAAGGCCUUCGGGUUGUAAAGUACUUUCAGCGGGGAGGAAGGCGAUGCGGUUAAUAACCGCGUCGAUUGACGUUACCCGCAGAAGAAGCACCGGCUAACUCCGUGCCAGCAGCCGCGGUAAUACGGAGGGUGCAAGCGUUAAUCGGAAUUACUGGGCGUAAAGCGCACGCAGGCGGUCUGUUAAGUCAGAUGUGAAAUCCCCGGGCUUAACCUGGGAACUGCAUUUUGAAACUGGCAGGCUUGAGUCUUGUAGAGGGGGUAGAAUUCCAGGUGUAGCGGUGAAAUGCGUAGAGAUCUGGAGGAAUACCGGUGGCGAAGGCGGCCCCUGGGACAAGACUGACGCUCAGGUGCGAAAGCGUGGGGAGCAAACGAGGAUUAGAUACC